GGUCAAGGGGAGAUCCGGCAGUGAGAGACACUGCUCUCCUAAAGCGGGUGCCGCAGGUUCGAAUCCUGCCGGGG
Molecule: transfer RNA, 74 nt
Filed under: Sphaerisporangium rubeum
Lineage: Bacteria; Bacillati; Actinomycetota; Actinomycetes; Streptosporangiales; Streptosporangiaceae
Description: tRNA-Arg
Source: RNAcentral